Molecule: long non-coding RNA, 1066 nt
Organism: Zingiber officinale
Lineage: Eukaryota; Viridiplantae; Streptophyta; Magnoliopsida; Zingiberales; Zingiberaceae
Exons: 2
Source: RefSeq, a predicted model, not a curated record
CCUGUGCCCUACGGCGCCGACGUCGCCUAACCAACACACUGACGCCGCCAACGCUGGCGACACCUCUCCUCCCCGAGCAUACAAAACCCCUCUCCUCAGCCCGAGCAGCGGCAACCCUUUCUUCUUCCCCGACAGCCACUUCUUCCGCUCCUCACCCAAUUCCCUUCCUCUUCCCGAUCUAGUCGCGCCUUCUCCUCCUCUUGGUCGCAUCACCCUCGGGUCGCCACAGCCGACAGCAGCGUCGCCAGCCGAGCCCUAGAUCGGGGGAGAUCAGGAAUGUGCCGAUGCUCCUCUACGACGUCGAGCUUCUCCUCUUCCUCUCCUCCACUGUGUCUCUACUGACCUUGGUGGUGCCAUCUUCCCAGAGAGUUGUGCCCUAGCCGCCGCCGUCGCACGGAGCACCGCCAGUGACACCGUGCCCUAGAUCUGCCACAGUUUUCACUGAUUUGGUGCUCGCCUUCGUGUGCGGCCUUGUCGAAGCUGCCGAGCCACCAUCUGCUAGUUCGGGAAGGGGUUGUAGUUGGCUGAGUAGGGCUCCCACCCUCUUGUAUACCUGCGACCGUGAGCAACAACCACUACUGCCAAGGUUUCGGGCGCUGUUGACGCUGUGAACUGCCACCAAGGAGCUAUAGGGUCUGUGGAGUGUUCUUGGUCCGACAGCACCCCAACCAGUAGCUCUCCUGGUUUCCCCAAUCAACAGUGGUUGUUAAUUGAGGGAUUCUUGUCUGGUCCAGCAGAUCACCUUGCUUUCCAGUAGCUUGAUUGAGGUUGAGGCUGUUCAAGAGGUUCGAAUCGCUAGUCCCCCACCACUGCGCGUCGCGACGAGUUCGCAUAUUUCAGUUUCCUUAUUAUGUUAUAGACUAUAUUUCAUACUUGUAUCUUUUGACAUUUGGAUCUUGUAUGAUUUCUUAUUCUCGAUGGGUUUUCGUUUAGAUGCAUGCUGAUGAUUUGUGUUUUAUGGGUGUAGUUGAGUAGGAUAUCGGAUUUGUGCUUUAUGGGUGUAGUUAAGUAGGUUAUUUGAAAUGAUUAUCUUAUCGUUGCUUAAGUUAAUGUUUUACUAUUAAAC